Molecule: non-coding RNA, 214 nt
Organism: Podarcis lilfordi (Lilford's wall lizard)
Lineage: Eukaryota; Metazoa; Chordata; Lepidosauria; Squamata; Lacertidae
Source: the annotation of a GenBank genome assembly
CCCCCUUUAUCUAAUCUGCUAAGCCUUUAAUAGCCUUUAAUAGCCUUUUAGCAGCUAAUCCCCUAAGCCUUUAAGCCUUUAAUAGCCGCUAAACCGCUAAUAGCGCUAAUCCGUUAAGCCGCUAAUAGGGUUGCUUCGCAAGACAAAAAAACCGCUAGACGAAGACUCUCGCGGAACGGAUUAAUUUCGUCUUGCGAGGCACCACUGUAUAAUG